CGGUGGAUGCCUUGGCAGUCAGAGGCGAUGAAAGACGUGGUAGCCUGCGAAAAGCUUCGGGGAGUCGGCAAACAGACUUUGAUCCGGAGAUGUCUGAAUGGGGGAACCCAGCCAUCAUAAGAUGGUUAUCUUGUACUGAAUACAUAGGUGCAAGAGGCGAACCAGGGGAACUGAAACAUCUAAGUACCCUGAGGAAAAGAAAUCAACCGAGAUUCCCCCAGUAGCGGCGAGCGAACGGGGAGGAGCCCAGAGCCUGAAUCAGUGUGUGUGUUAGUGGAAGCGUCUGGAAAGGCGCGCGAUACAGGGUGACAGCCCCGUACACAAAAAUGCACAUGCUGUGAGCUCGAUGAGUAGGGCGGGACACGUGGUAUCCUGUCUGAAUAUGGGGGGACCAUCCUCCAAGGCUAAAUACUCCUGACUGACCGAUAGUGAACCAGUACCGUGAGGGAAAGGCGAAAAGAACCCCGGCGAGGGGAGUGAAAAA
This 484-nucleotide ribosomal RNA is filed under the name Staphylococcus aureus. RNAcentral describes it as "partial 23S ribosomal RNA". It matches the Rfam family "Bacterial large subunit ribosomal RNA", at positions 22 to 545 of the family's 2925-position model. Lineage: Bacteria; Bacillati; Bacillota; Bacilli; Caryophanales; Staphylococcaceae. The record is from RNAcentral.